This 492-nucleotide ribosomal RNA is filed under the name uncultured bacterium. RNAcentral describes it as "partial 16S ribosomal RNA". It matches the Rfam family "Bacterial small subunit ribosomal RNA", at positions 29 to 507 of the family's 1533-position model. The record is from RNAcentral.
AGUGAACGCUGGCGGUAGGCCUAACACAUGCAAGUCGAACGGCAGCACAGUAAGAGCUUGCUCUUACGGGUGGCGAGUGGCGGACGGGUGAGGAAUACAUCGGAAUCUAUUUUUUCGUGGGGGAGAACGUAGGGAAACUUACGCUAAUACCGCAUCGGAACUACGGGUGAAAGCAGGGGAUCUUCGGACCUUGCGCGAUUGAAUGAGCCGAUGUCGGAUUAGCUAGUUGGCGGGGUAAAGGCCCACCAAGGCGACGAUCCGUAGCUGGUGUGAGAGUAUGAUCAGCCACACUGGAACUGAGACACGGUCCAGACUCCUACGGGAGGCAGCAGUGGGGAAUAUUGGACAAUGGGCGCAAGCCUGAUCCAGCCGUACCGCGUGGGUGAAGAAGGCCUUCGGGUUGUAAAGCCCUUUUGUUUGGAAAGAAAAGCAGCAGGUUAAUACCCCGCUGUUCUGACGGUACCCAAAGAAUAAGCACCGGCUAACUUCGUG